CUUUAAACCCGAAAUCCUCUGCCUAUAAGGCGAAUGUUCUAACCACUGACAAAACUCCGCAAUAAACUGAUAACCGCAAAUUUUAUUUCGUGUUUUGUAAAGUCAUGGAAAAAUUAAUUUAAAUCAUUUGCAGUGACGUCAUCGGUAUUUGCUACGUGAUCAAAAUAUGUAACUUCAUCAUAAAGUUCUUUAAUUUCAUGACUUUCCCCUUUAUUUGAUUCUUAGAGGCGUCAAGGGUGGGGUCGUCGAGGGUAGGGCCGUCGAGGGUGGGGUCGUCGAAGGUGGGGCCGUCGAGGGUGGGGCCGUCGAGGGUGAGGCCGUUGAAGGUGGGACCGUCGAGGGUGGGGCCGUCGAGGGUGGGGUCGUCGAAGGUGGGGCCGUCGAGGGUGGGGCCGUCGAGGGUGAGGCCGUUGAAGGUGGGACCGUCGAGGGUGGGGCCGUCGAAGGUGGGGCCGUCGAGGGUGAAGCCGUCGAGGGUGAAGCCGUCGAGGGUGGGACCGUCGAGGGUGGGGCCGUCGAGGGUGAAGCCGUCGAGGGUGGGGCUGUCGAGGGUGGGGCCGUUGAAGGUGAAGCCGUCGAGGGUAGGGCCGU
Ciona intestinalis (vase tunicate) is the source of this 591-nucleotide non-coding RNA. The record is from RefSeq and is a predicted model, not a curated record. NCBI's taxonomy places the organism in Eukaryota, Metazoa, Chordata, Ascidiacea, Phlebobranchia, Cionidae.